This 164-nucleotide ribosomal RNA is filed under the name Hydnum repando-orientale. RNAcentral describes it as "partial 28S ribosomal RNA". It matches the Rfam family "Eukaryotic large subunit ribosomal RNA", at positions 1 to 159 of the family's 3401-position model. The record is from RNAcentral. Lineage: Eukaryota; Fungi; Basidiomycota; Agaricomycetes; Cantharellales; Hydnaceae.
UUCUGACCUCGAAUCAGGUGGGACUACCCGCUGAACUUAAGCAUAUCAAUAAGCGGAGGAAAAGAAACUAACAAGGAUUCCCUUAGUAACUGCGAGUGAAGUGGGAUGAGCUCAAAUUUAAAAUCUGGUAGUCUCUGGCUGCCCGAGUUGUAAUCUAGAGAAGU